Molecule: ribosomal RNA, 444 nt
Filed under: uncultured bacterium
Lineage: Bacteria
Description: partial 16S ribosomal RNA
Rfam family: Bacterial small subunit ribosomal RNA
Source: RNAcentral
GUGAGGAAUAUUGGUCAAUGGACGAGAGUCUGAACCAGCCAAGUCGCGUGAAGGAAGACGGUUCUAUGAAUUGUAAACUUCUUUUGUGCAGGAAUAAAGUGGGUUACGUGUAACCUUUUGUAUGUACUGUACGAAUAAGGAUCGGCUAACUCCGUGCCAGCAGCCGCGGUAAUACGGAGGAUCCGAGCGUUAUCCGGAUUUAUUGGGUUUAAAGGGUGCGUAGGUGGAUUGAUAAGUCAGCGGUGAAAGUUUGCAGCUUAACUGUAAAAUUGCCGUUGAAACUGUCGGUCUUGAGUGCAAAUGAGGAAGGCGGAAUGUGUUGUGUAGCGGUGAAAUGCUUAGAUAUAACACAGAACUCCGAUUGCGAAGGCAGCUUACUGGGAUGCAACUGACACUGAUGCACGAAAGCGUGGGUAUCAAACAGGAUUAGAUACCCCAGUAGUC